UAAAAUAUAGAAAAUCUCAUGAAAAUAUCUUUUUUUUUUAAUUUUUCUCCCCCACUUUCAAAAAAAAUCUAUAUUUUACCUUUUUUAAAAUUCAGAAAAUUUUUUAGGGGUUAUGGCAUUAAUGAAGAGGGUGAAAUGACUAAAUUGCUCUUAUUUGUUUUAUUAAAAAAUAUUUGUUUUAUAUAUUUCUAAUAUUUUAAGGGUAUUUUCGGUAUAAAUUAUAAAACAAUAAAAUUUCAGAAUAAUUGUUUUUAAAAAUGGAAUAAAUAGUGACAUAACCUUGGCGGAGGUACAUCAACUUGAAAUUUUAAAGGGGUAAAUAUUUUUUUUUUUUUUGAGAUAGGUAGCAUGCUACCUGCUUUGUUUAUUUCAUUUAGAAAUAAACUUAGCUGGAAAUGUGAAUUAACUAGAAUUCGAACUUGGGACCUCGGAUAUCAACCUCCAAACUCUUUGCCACUUGCUCCAGAGACAGUCAGUAAGGGGUAAAAUAUAGGUUUCUAAAAGUUAAGGAGAAAAUGUGAAAAGGCGAAUAUUUAUAAAGUGUUUUCUAUAAUUCAGCCCUUUAUUUUU
RNAcentral lists this long non-coding RNA (570 nucleotides) under Ananas comosus (pineapple). RNAcentral describes it as "long non-coding RNA (ACOM_LNC036888)". The record is from RNAcentral. Lineage: Eukaryota; Viridiplantae; Streptophyta; Magnoliopsida; Poales; Bromeliaceae.